AAAUAAAUAUCCACGUGUCAUUUCCCCAGAUGAGCUGAAGUUCAGGAACUUAUGGGAGCAUGAAGAAGACAUCCGGUUUAAAGAAGAAGGAGCUGCUGACAUGAUGGGAAAUAGCCGACAUUCCACGCCAUUCUGACUCUGCAGAUUCACCAACCUAAGGAGGUUGCAUGAUUCAUUCCCCUUUUACACACCGGUUU
Molecule: long non-coding RNA, 197 nt
Filed under: Ictidomys tridecemlineatus (thirteen-lined ground squirrel)
Lineage: Eukaryota; Metazoa; Chordata; Mammalia; Rodentia; Sciuridae
Description: lncRNA (ENSSTOG00000033814.1)
Source: RNAcentral